Molecule: ribosomal RNA, 246 nt
Filed under: uncultured bacterium
Lineage: Bacteria
Description: partial 16S ribosomal RNA
Rfam family: Bacterial small subunit ribosomal RNA
Source: RNAcentral
CAGAGGGUGCAAACGUUGUUCGGAUUUACUGGGCGUAAAGCGCGUGUAGGCGGCUUGGUAAGUCGGAUGUGAAAGCCCACGGCUCAACCGUGGAAGUGCAUUCGAAACUACCUCGCUCGAGUCCUGGAGAGGAAGGUGGAAUGCUUGGUGUAGAGGUGAAAUUCGUAGAUAUCAAGCGGAACACCGGUGGCGAAGGCGACCUUCUGGACAGUGACUGACGCUGAGACGCGAAAGCGUGGGGAGCAA